GUACUAUAGGCUCUCCCUCUCGCCUCUCCAAAAUAUUUUAGCCUAUCGGACAAGUUCUUGAGAGAACUCAGACAAGUUCUUUCGUUUAGUACGAGUACAUCACAGAAGCAUCAAUGGAGGUCAACAUGAGCUUUUCAAAUGACAUGGAUGAUGAAUAUGAGAAACUCUUUAGGAGAUUGAAUCCACCCAGGGUUGUGAUUGAUAAUGAAGCUUGCAAGAAUGCUACUGUCAUAAGGGUAAGAGUUUUGGUGUCUUUUUUUGGUGGGUGUGUGCUCUUCAGUCUUGCCCAUCAUUCUUGUUGUUUUUUGGGUACUAAAUAUUUCAUUGUGU
This is a long non-coding RNA of Populus trichocarpa (black cottonwood), 330 nucleotides long. RefSeq lists it as uncharacterized. Lineage: Eukaryota; Viridiplantae; Streptophyta; Magnoliopsida; Malpighiales; Salicaceae. The record is from RefSeq and is a predicted model, not a curated record. The transcript is spliced from 3 exons.